Molecule: non-coding RNA, 219 nt
Organism: Pelobates cultripes (western spadefoot toad)
Lineage: Eukaryota; Metazoa; Chordata; Amphibia; Anura; Pelobatidae
Source: the annotation of a GenBank genome assembly
GGGGUAAUAGAGGGGGACACAGAGACAGAUGGGGUAAUAGAGAGACACCAGGGAAGGGGGGACAACGAGACAGAUGGGUAAUAGAGAGACACAUGGGAUGGGGGGACAAAGAGACAGAGGGGUAAGAGAGAGACACAGGGAGGAGAUGGGGAAGAGAGACAGAGGCAGGCGAGGGGGAAGAGAGACACAGGGAGGAGAGGGGAGAAAGAGACACACAGA